RNAcentral lists this long non-coding RNA (2440 nucleotides) under Anser cygnoides (Swan goose). RNAcentral's name for it is "lncRNA (ENSACDG00005007939.1)". Lineage: Eukaryota; Metazoa; Chordata; Aves; Anseriformes; Anatidae. The record is from RNAcentral.
GGGACCCAAAAGGGACCCGGUGACCCAAAACGGACCUCGGGGCACCCAAAAGGGGACCCAAAAGGGGACACAAAAGGGACCCGGUGACCACCCAGGGGACCCAAAAUGGACCUGAGGGACUCAAAAAGGACCCAAAAGGGACCCAGAGACCACCCAGAGGACCCAAAAUGGACCUGAGGGACCCAAAAGGGGACCCAAAAGGGACCCGGUGACCACUGGGGGCCCCAAAAGGGACCUGAGUGACCCAAAAUGGACCUGGGGGCACCCAAAAGAGACCCAAAAGGGACCCGGAGACCACCCAGAGCACCCAAAAUGGACCUGAGGGACCCAAAAGGGACCCGGUGACCACCGGGGCCACCCAGGGGUCCCCGUCCUGCCCCCCCCCGCCCUCACCCUGUGCACCCAGGGGGGCAUGGCGUGGGUGGCGGGCGAGCGGUGGUGCAGGUUGAGGACGCCGACGCUGAGGAUGACGCAGAGCGUGAGCAGCACCAGGGUGCCCGUCAGGUAGCGCCCGAUGAGCGGCACGGCCAGCGAGGUGGCCGGCACUUUGUCGGCCAGCAGCAGCAGGAACACCGUCAGCGUCAGCAGCGCGAACAGCGACAGCGUCAUCUUCUCCCCUGCGGCGCGCGUGCGCGACUGUGUGAUGCACCGCAGCGUGCGGCGCUCCCGUGCAAUGCUCCCGUGCAAUGCUCCCGUGCAAUGCUCUCGUGCACUGUAUCGUGCGGCGCUCCCGUGCAAUGCAGCGUGUGGUGCUCCCGUGCAUGCUCCCAUGCAAUGCUCUCAUGCACUGCAUCGUGUGGUGCGGCGUGCGGUGCUCCCGUGCAAUGCAUCGUGCGGUGCUCCCGUGCAUGCUCCCAUGCAAUGCUCCCAUACGGUGCUCCCGUGCAAUGCAGCGUGCAAUGCAGCGUGUGGUGCUCCUGUGCAAUGCUCCCAUGCAGUGCUCCCAUACGGUGCUCCCGUGCAAUGCAGCGUGUGGUGCUCCUGUGCAAUGCUCCCAUGCAAUGUUCCCAUAAGGUGCUCCCGUGCAAUGCAGCGUGCAAUGCAGCGUGUGGUGCUCCUGUGCAAUGCUCCCAUGCAGUGCUCCCAUGCGGUGCUCCCGUGCAAUGCUCCCAUGCAAUGCUCUCAUGCACUGCAUCAUGUGGUGCAGUGUGCAGUGCUCCCGUGCAGUGCUCCCGUGCAGUGCUCCCGUGCAAUGCUCCUGUGCACCGCAUCGCAUGGUGCGGCGUGCGGUGCUCCCGUGCAAUGCAUCGUGCGGUGCUCCCAUGCAAUGCUCCUGUGCAAUGCAACGUGUGGUGCUCCCAUGCAAUGCUCUUAUGCACUGCAUCGUGUGGUGCGGCGUGCAGUGCUCCCGUGCAAUGCUCCCAUGCAAUGCUCCCGUGCAAUGAUCCCGUGCAAUGCUCCCGUGCAAUGCUCCCGUGCACUGUAUCGUGUGGUGCUCCUGUGCAAUGCAUCGUGUGGUGCUCCUGUGCAAUGCUCCUGUGCAGUGCUCCCGUGCAAUGCAUCGUGCGGUGCUCCCGUGCAAUGCUCCCAUGCAACGUUCUCAUGCACUGCAUCGAGUGGUGCAGCGUGUGAUGCUCCUAUGCAUCACGGCAUGUGGUGCAGCAUGCGGUGCUCCCGUGCAAUGCUCCCGUGUGGUGCUCCUGUGCAAUGCAUCGUGUGGUGCUCCUGUGCAGUGAUCCCGUGCAAUGCUCUCGUGCGCUGCAUCGUGUGGUGCAGCAUGUGAUGCCCCCCAUGCAAAGCAGCAUGCAACGCGGCGUGCAAUGCACCGUGCGUUGCAUUGUGUGGUGCAGCGUGCAAUGCAACGUGCGGUGCUCCCGUGCAAUGCUCUCGUGCACUGCAUUGAGUGGUGCGGCGUGCGGUGCUCCCGUGCAAUGCAGCGUGCAACACGGCACGCAACGCACUGUGCAUUGUGCAAAGCAUCGUGUAAUGCAUCCUGCAAUGCCCCCGUGCAACACAUCUUGCGACGCCCGUGUGCAACGCACAGUGCAAUGCCCUUGUGCAAGGUGCUGUGCAACACCCCCACGUGCCCCCCGUGCAAGCUCUGACACAAACCACGCAAAGUCCACGUGCAAAUGCUUCGGCUGUGCAACACCCCCCCACCCCCAAACCCUGCUGUGAAUCUGCAACGCCCUGGUGCAAACCCCUCGUGCGACCACACACACACACACACCCCCGGCCCUUGCACGAGCCCCCCCCCCCCUCGUGCAACGCACCGGCGUCGGGGGGCAGGUAGAAGGCGCCGACGGCGAGCAGCGUGAUGAGCACGCAGGGCACGAGGACGUUGACGAUGUAGAAGAGCGGCUUGCGGCGGAUCACCAGGUAGAAGGUGACGUCCUCGUGCGAGCCGGCGGCGUGGUGGCGGCCGUGCCGGUGGCACAGCUCCCACUGCCCGUUCUCUGCACGGCGCCGCCAAGCGUGAGGCCCCGUGCAAAGCCCCCCG